Molecule: long non-coding RNA, 748 nt
Organism: Hylaeus anthracinus
Lineage: Eukaryota; Metazoa; Arthropoda; Insecta; Hymenoptera; Colletidae
Exons: 3
Source: RefSeq, a predicted model, not a curated record
ACCUCUUCCAUCAUGCAUCAGUUGAUAAAGCUCAGUCGUUCAAAAGAGUGUAUACAACCAUCGCGAUAAAUAAGGAUCGAUAAAUAUCUAAAACUAAUAAUCCAAGAUAAGGGUCCAAGAAAGAGAUGGGCAAGAUACUUAUCUGGAUAAAAACUUCAAAUGAUGAAUAAAAGGUAGGAAGAGCUCGGAGCGCUUUGAGGCAGGGCUAGAAACGCAGGUGUUGGCCAUUGUUACCUUGCCAAUUUCCCGCUGCUUAAGCCGUUGGCCAAAAACGGAACCCUUCAUUUUCGAGGGUGUGCGAAACAAGGUAUCACGCGAAAGUCACAGUAACCCUCAACAACCCUCUACAGCCUCAACAGUUGACGGAAGAACGUCCUGGCGACGGAAAACGGUAAAUAGUUGAGCGUUGUCGCGAAUAAAGAAGGCGACAAAGGUCGUUUCGUGCAAUUCAUCGUCUCUCUGACAAUGAGUCAUAACGAAGAUCUGCCAGUGACACGGUCAUCAAACAUGCACUGGCGGCGGGUAAAGUCAAUAUUGAUGCGCUUGUAAAACUACCGAUAGUCAGUUUAGAUUAAGAUAAAGAGGGCUCUGUGAAUCACGUGAGCGUUCCAACUCGUGUUUAGGUUCACGUGUUUGAGCCUGCUUCAAUUCGCUUGGUGAACUGAUUUUAACAAUAAAGAGUAUUUCACUCCUGACGUUUAAAAACUGUGUUUUUUUUUCAUUUGCAUUAAUUUGAACAUAUAUAUUC